GGCGACGUAGCCAAGCGGUAAGGCAGAGGUCUGCAAAACCUCCAUCACCGGUUCGAAUCCGGUCGUCGCCU
Molecule: transfer RNA, 71 nt
Filed under: Promineifilum sp. (SeqCode)
Lineage: Bacteria; Bacillati; Chloroflexota; Ardenticatenia; Promineifilales (SeqCode); Promineifilaceae (SeqCode)
Description: tRNA-Cys
Rfam family: tRNA
About the family: Transfer RNA (tRNA) molecules are approximately 80 nucleotides in length. Their secondary structure includes four short double-helical elements and three loops (D, anti-codon, and T loops).
Source: RNAcentral